AAUUCGUGUUUUCCUAGAUUAGGAAACUUCAAUGUAACAGGUUUCUCUACAGAAGAUUAAAUUAUAUAAAAAGUAUACUAAAUGUAUUUGUUCAGAACUUGUUUUAUUCAGAUCUAUGUUGGAACAGUAUUUGAUAUUUGAUCAUAUAAAUCUACCAUAUGUGUAGGACUCAAUGGUAAUAUGUAAUGAUACAUAUGUUUUGUGAGAGCAGAGAGACAAAAUUUAGAAAUUGGGCUUGUUUCAUGAAAUCCGGGCUAUACGCGCAUCACAGGAACUGUGUGUCAUAUGCAGAGUAUGGUAUUGGCCGUGGCAGAGGAGGCAGCUGCUCAGGAGAGGUGUGGGAAGGCUUUUGCACAAAGCGCUCACUCUUCGUCCAGCUCCUUUAUGCCCAACCCCUCAGCUCCCCUGGCCUUCCGAGGUCCUAUCGUCCAGGAAGAACCGCUAAUACAUUAAAUCAUUGUAUCAAGGCAAUGAAGUGGGAUGUAUUGGGCUUUUCCUAAAAGCGGAUUAUUGGUCGGUGGCAAGAGAAAAGACCUAGAGAGCAGAGGAUAGAAAUCAGAUUUCCUAUUUCACAGGUGACUGGGCUCUCCCUGGUGGUAUCAAGAAGGAGAGAAAUUUCUACACAGUUUAACAGAGAAUGCCUGUUUCUGGCUCAAAGGAAUAAUCAUAAGAAAUGAAUUUUAAUGUCUGGAAUAUCAAAGAUAUGCUCAGUAUUCCCUCAACCUCUGGGACAACUAAGUCAUCUAGCUGGGCUAAUAAUCCGGGUGAUUAUUCCAGUCUCAGUGACUCUCAGUUCCUCUUUGGAUCCCAGUUCUGUCCAGAAAGUUCAGAGACCUUGUCAGCACCUUUGGAUGUUGGUGUCCAUUUGAGAGACCCAAAACCGUUACAAAAGGGUUCUCUGGAUAAUGAACCUAGUAUUUUCACAAAGUACCAGACAAAACCCCAGCUGUUUGAAGAAGAUAUAAAUGAUGGAGGCUUAUUUCCUCUUCCUUUGCCAGUUGGAAAAUCAAAAGGCCUUUUGGAACAGUUUGAGGAGAAAAAGAAAAUAGCAAAAGAUAAACGUGACAGGUAUGCAAACCUUUCAAGUAGACAAGAUAUCUUCUCUUUUAUGAGGGAAACAGAAAAUGGAAUGCCAAUAGUGACUAAUUCAAUUUCAGCAAGAUAGCACUCUUGCCUUUAUAUCUCAUCUAAUUAUUACUCUUGUU
RNA transcript from Myotis davidii, 1205 nucleotides. RefSeq lists it as uncharacterized. The transcript is spliced from 4 exons. Lineage: Eukaryota; Metazoa; Chordata; Mammalia; Chiroptera; Vespertilionidae. The record is from RefSeq and is a predicted model, not a curated record.